AAAUAUAUAAUUAACGUAUAUUUAUUUUAUUUGAUUACAUUCUAAACAUUUUAACGAUUUAUGAAAUCAAAAAUAAUUUUAGAAUUUUAUGUUGAAAAGAAUUUGAAUUACGAAAAUACGUUUUUACUUAGAAAACAAUCAUAAUCGGUUUCGAAUUCAAACAUAAACUCAAUUAUAAUCCUAGCCCAAAUAACAAAGCCCAAAAUAAAUAACCCCAAAUAAACCCAUAACCCUUUCUCCUAUUCAACUUCACGUGAAACAAAAAUAAAAAGAGAAACAAAAGAAAACUCUCAAACCCUUGCUUCACCAUUCACGUGAAAACGCACAAGACUCUCUGCUUCAGCCACCGCCGCUCCUCCUUGCUGCUAUCCCUCACGCCGCCGUUCCUCUCUCCCGCCUUCACUUUCGUUGCUGCAGCCUCCCUCGCCGUCGGACCACCAUCACGCCACUGUUUCGUUCGCAGCAACCACCACCGCGCCACCAGCCGCGCCCAUAACGAUUGUUCGCCGCCGCACCACCAACAACCAUCGCGCGGACGCUGACACCCUCCGCCGUACUCCUCCGACCAGCGUCGCCGCCCACUGUUGCCGCGCCGCCCUGCCUGCCGGCCAGCAGCUUCCCUCUCCUCUCUUUUUUUGGUGGAGAAUUCUCCGUAGGCGACUUUUGAAUUAUUAAAGUGGUCUUGCAGUUUGUUUACACAAGGAAUAAAAUGUUUCUUUCCAAGUAUACCAAUAUAGGAUCCUUCGAGAAACUUGAUAUAGAAACCCCAGAUAUUUAUGUGAAGAAAAUUGUGUUUGGAUGUGAAUAUUAUGCUAAGGUUCAAGGGCAACCUAUCUUAAUGAGAAAGGAUAUCAUAGCAGCCACUAUCAUUAAUUGCUUACCUAACAAAUUUCCAUACCUAGAACUCAAGGAAAAGUUUAAAGACAUGCAUUCUGAUGAUGGAACACCAAAGUUGAUUAAGUAUGAGACUAGGGAUGGUAGGUAGAGAUAUGACGUAGAGAUCCUGACCACCAUUAUUGAGGUCG
Spinacia oleracea (spinach) is the source of this 1025-nucleotide long non-coding RNA. RefSeq lists it as uncharacterized. NCBI's taxonomy places the organism in Eukaryota, Viridiplantae, Streptophyta, Magnoliopsida, Caryophyllales, Amaranthaceae. The transcript has 5 exons. The record is from RefSeq and is a predicted model, not a curated record.